GACGAACGCUGGCGGCAUGCCUAACACAUGCAAGUCGAACGGAGAUUAUUUCGGUAAUCUUAGUGGCGAACGGGUGAGUAACGCGUAGGCAACCUGCCCUCUAGAUGGGGACAACAUCCCGAAAGGGGUGCUAAUACCGAAUGUGACAGCAAUCUCGCAUGAGGAUGCUGUGAAAGAUGGCCUCUAUUUAUAAGCUAUCGCUAGAGGAUGGGCCUGCGUCUGAUUAGCUAGUUGGUGGGGUAACGGCCUACCAAGGCGAUGAUCAGUAGCCGGUCUGAGAGGAUGAACGGCCACAUUGGGACUGAGACACGGCCCAGACUCCUACGGGAGGCAGCAGUGGGGAAUCUUCCGCAAUGGGCGAAAGCCUGACGGAGCAAUGCCGCGUGAGUGAUGAAGGAAUUCGUUCCGUAAAGCUCUUUUGUUUAUGACGAAUGUGCAGAUUGUGAACAAUGAUCUGUAAUGACGGUAGUAAACGAAUAAGCCACGGCUAACUACGUG
This 498-nucleotide ribosomal RNA is filed under the name uncultured bacterium. RNAcentral's name for it is "partial 16S ribosomal RNA". It matches the Rfam family "Bacterial small subunit ribosomal RNA", at positions 28 to 507 of the family's 1533-position model. The record is from RNAcentral.